This 432-nucleotide ribosomal RNA is filed under the name Arhopala epimuta. RNAcentral describes it as "partial 12S small subunit ribosomal RNA". Lineage: Eukaryota; Metazoa; Arthropoda; Insecta; Lepidoptera; Lycaenidae. The record is from RNAcentral.
UCAUUCUAGAAACACUUUCCAGUACCUCUACUUUGUUACGACUUAUUUCAAUUUUUAAAUGAAAGCGACGGGCAAUAUGUACAUAUUUUAAUUUUUAAUCAUUUUAUUAUAUUAAAUAAAAUUACAUUUAAAUCCACUUUCAUACUCUUUUUACAAAAAAAAAAUCCAUUUAAAUAAAUUUAUUGUAAUCCAUCAUAUGCUUAAUUAUAUUCUACAUCUUGAUCUGAUUUAAUUUCUAUUUUUAAUUUUUAAAUAUUAUUUUUAUUUAAAAAUAUUUUUUUAACAACGAUAUAUAAAAUUUUAAAUUAAGUAAAUUUAAUCGUGGAUUAUCAAUUAUUAGACAGAUUCCUCUAAAUGAACUAAAAUACCGCCAAAUUAUUUAAGUUUCAAUAAAUUAUUAUUUACUAUUUUAGUAUUAUAAAUUAAAUUUUA